RNAcentral lists this ribosomal RNA (592 nucleotides) under uncultured marine eukaryote. RNAcentral describes it as "SSU rRNA". It matches the Rfam family "Eukaryotic small subunit ribosomal RNA", at positions 1 to 598 of the family's 1831-position model. The record is from RNAcentral.
UACCUGGUGUGAUGCCUGCCAGUAGUCAUAUGCGUUGUGCUCAAAGACUAAGCCAUGCAUGUCUAAGUAUAAAUGAUAUACAGUAAAACUGCGAAUGGCUCAUUAAAACAGUUAUAGUUUAUUUGGUAAUCAAAAUUACAUGGAUAACCGUGGUAAUUCUAGAGCUAAUACAUGCAGUCAAACCCGACUUUUUGGAAGGGUUGUAUUUAUUAGAUAUCAGACCAAUAUUCCUUGUGUCUAUUGUGGUGAAUCAUAGUAACUGAUCGGAUCGCAUGGGCUUGUCCCGCGACAAACCAUUCAAGUUUCUGCCCCAUCAGCUUUCGAUGGUAGUGUAUUGGGCUACCAUGGCUUUUACGGGUAACGGAGGAUUAGGGUUCGAUUCCGGAGAGGGAGCCUGAGAAACGGCUACCACAUCUAAGGAAGGCAGCAGGCGCGUAAAUUACCCAAUACUGAUUCAGUGAGGUAGUGACAAGAAAUAGCGGGUCGGGAUUUUUUCCCGGGACUGAAAUGAGCCGAAUUUACACCACUUAGUGAGGAUCAAUUGGAGGGCAAGUCUGGUGCCAGCAGCCGCGGUAAUUCCAGCUCCAAUAGC